GUGGAGGGGACUGAGUGUUUCUCAUUUCAUCUUCCACUCCUGCUGUGGCUGACUGUGGCCCAGGUGAAGAUGGCAGAACUCCCAAGAAAGGACCAGGAUCACAGAUCACCUGGUGCAAAACAGCUCUGUUGGAGAAUCACAGGACACUUUGUGAGAGCAAACUACUAAUUCAGGGAGGUGUGAAGUUCCUGAAGGUUCAAGGUGAGAAAACUGAUGCCUGAAAGAGAGAAUCAAGGGUUUCUAAGCUCAGCCCCCUGUCUCAUGAGUUCACCAUGGCUUUAACAAGGAACCUACCCGAGAACAUUUGAUUUUGCCUCCUUUUGAAGAUUUCAUGGAAAUGUGACAUUGCAUUGCCAUUAAAUAGAUUCAUCUCUCACACUGCUAGUCUUUUUCCAAUAGUGUUUCUACAAAAUUUUUC
RNAcentral lists this long non-coding RNA (418 nucleotides) under Heterocephalus glaber (naked mole-rat). Its description in RNAcentral is "lncRNA (ENSHGLG00100047895.1)". The record is from RNAcentral. Lineage: Eukaryota; Metazoa; Chordata; Mammalia; Rodentia; Bathyergidae.